RNAcentral lists this ribosomal RNA (292 nucleotides) under uncultured bacterium. Its description in RNAcentral is "partial 16S ribosomal RNA". It matches the Rfam family "Bacterial small subunit ribosomal RNA", at positions 505 to 796 of the family's 1533-position model. The record is from RNAcentral.
GUGCCAGCCGCCGCGGUAAGACAGAGGUGCCAAGCGUUAGGCGGAAUCACUGGGCUUAAAGCGUGUGUAGGCGGACUGGUAAGUACCUUGUGAAAUCCCACGGCUCAACCGUGGAACUGCUCGGUAUACUGCUCGUCUUGAGCCACUUAGGGGCUGUCGGAACAAGCGGUGGAGCGGUGAAAUGCGUAGAUAUCGCUUGGAACGCCGAAGGUGAAAACAGGCUGCUGGGGUUGUGCCGACGCUGAGACACGAAAGCCAGGGGAGCAAACGGGAUUAGAUACCCCAGUAGUCC